Molecule: long non-coding RNA, 787 nt
Organism: Musca domestica (house fly)
Lineage: Eukaryota; Metazoa; Arthropoda; Insecta; Diptera; Muscidae
Exons: 3
Source: RefSeq, a predicted model, not a curated record
UAGCAAUCCCACGAAUCGAAUCAGUUUGAUCAGAGACUACAAAGAGAGUGGAGUGUUGUUGAAAGAUUGCGUUGUGUUUAUUGUUUUUUGUUUUUUUAUAAAACAUUGAAAUUAUUUUUUUUGUGCAAAAUUUAUUGAACUAAAAACAAAAGGCCUGUAAAUAAAAAACUGAAAGAAAAAACGGCGCAUAUAAUUAGAAUUGGAAAUACCUUUGUUAAAUUUAUUGUUGUAGUCUUCUUCACACAAUCAUGGACACAUUCCGCUACUUAUGGUCUGGACAAACUGCCACAAGAGAUACCAACAAUACCCACCACACAUCUGCAGGUCCAAUGACAAUGACCUAUCAUCAUGAAUCUCGUAAUAGUACCACCCUGGGAUCAUCGAAUGGAUUGCGGGAUGAUUUGAAUAUAAAUCAGAAGCCGGAUAUGAAGCGAAAGGAUGCGGACAAAUAUUUUUACAUAUUGUGGCAUCCAUAGGCGACCUGUAAAUCCCCCCUUGUUCAGCUGAGUAGUAAUUCGGCAUCCUUAUUACUUACAUAUUAUAUAUAUUUACCCUUUACAUCAAAUAUUAUCAAUGCAUUUCAUUUGAAAUACUUUAUACAUAUUUUUUUCAUAUCUCCAAACAAAAGUUACCUGUAUUAUUUUUCUUUUAUUUCAAAUGUUAUUAUAUUCAUUAUUUUGAAUAUCGAUUUGAAUGUUAACUACAACUACAGCAUACCAAUCAGGUCAAGUGAUAUUAUAAAUUUUAAGUCUGUGUGUGUUUUUUUUAAAUUUAAUACAAUAAUUUA